GGAUGCGAUCAUACCAGCACUAAAGCACCGGAUCCUAACAGAACUCCGUAGUUAAGCGUGCUUGGGCGAGAGUAGUACUAGGAUGGGUGACCUCCUGGGAAGUCCUCGUGUUGCAUCCCUCC
RNAcentral lists this ribosomal RNA (122 nucleotides) under Oryza rufipogon (brownbeard rice). The record is from RNAcentral. Lineage: Eukaryota; Viridiplantae; Streptophyta; Magnoliopsida; Poales; Poaceae.